Musca domestica (house fly) is the source of this 6462-nucleotide RNA transcript. RefSeq lists it as uncharacterized. The record is from RefSeq and is a predicted model, not a curated record. The transcript is spliced from 2 exons. NCBI's taxonomy places the organism in Eukaryota, Metazoa, Arthropoda, Insecta, Diptera, Muscidae.
UUAUUAAUAAGUAAUUAGAAUUAUCAUUUAACUCAUUAAAUUAACUUGCUUACUGUACAUAAACUAUUUAUCAGCAGGGUAAGAGAACGACGAGAAUGGUCAGUGGAACUUGUUUCAUCAUUCUGUUUUUACCUAUGCUGUUUUACUAAGUGUAAUGAUUGUUGUUGCUGCCGCUCUCAUACUCACUGAAACGAGUGUCAUAAAACUGGUAUCGUGUGCUAAGCGAACCAUACUUUUAACUCAAUGAUAAUUUGAGUGUUACAUUAUUUAGGUUCAAUCAUUUUGCAUUGAUUUCAUAUUCCUUCUUCUAUUUUGACAUCAGAACGAACAACAUCAAAGCAGCAAGUAUUCCACUAACCAUUCUCUUCUUAGUUCUUUUAUUUCAGCAAAUUUUUAUUUCUGAGCAUAUGUACAUGCAAUUGUCAUUUACAUUAUUCAAUAAAAUUUGUGAAAAAUUAAUUACUUAAAUUAACUAAAAAUCAAAUAAAUAUCUUUACAUAUAAAUUUGGUGCCGAAACCCGGGAAAGUUAAUUUCGAAAUUUUGUAAAAUAAAAUAGUUGGUGCAAGUCUGUGUAUUAAGAAGUGCUUAAACAUGAGUUCGCUUGACAUUUUAAUCAAAGAACAACGUGGUCUGCUGGAUUUGAUUAACAAGCAUGAACUUGGAUUUAAUAAAAAAUCCAGAGAAGAAAAAACUCAUGGUUAUUUAAAUUCCCUGGCACAACUUCUUGAUGAUAUCUUCACUAAAUUUGAGAGCCAGCAUGGAACAAUUGUCAGACUAGUGCAUGAAUCAUCAAUGUCUGAAAGUGAUGUUCCAUAUUUAACAGACGAAGUGUUUUUCCAUUUCUCUGAAAAAUAUUUAACUUUUAAGGGACAUUUGAUUGAUUCCCUUCCAGAUAACUCAACAACACAUUCACCCUUAACUAGCACGUUUUCUGCGCCGAAUAAUCGUUCAGAAACAAUAUUUUCAGACACUCGCCUUCCAAAGAUAAAUUUACCAAAAUUUUCUGGCGAUUAUAUCGAUUGGGUUCCUUUUCAAGACCUUUUUUCAUCGCUGGUGCAUAACAAUGAUUCGUUGAACAAAGUGCAAAAGUUCUUUUAUUUAAAAAGUAGUAUUUCAGGGGAAGCUGCAAAUUUGAUAAAAACUUUUUCAGCCACUGAGGCAAAUUACGAUUCAGCGUGGCAAAUUUUGGAGGCGAGAUACCAUAACAAACGAAUGUUAGUUGGAAAUCUCAUUUCUAAACUUUUUAACAUACCAAAGUCAGAUGGAGGUUUUCAGUCUAUCAAAAUCAUUCUCGAUUCUACACAAGAAUGCCUCGCAUCUCUAAGCAACCUUGGACUAAGUACAAUUAGCUGGGAUCCUAUCCUUAUCCAUUUAAUCAUUCAAAAACUUGACUUACAAACUAGAAGAGAUUGGGAAAAUUCUCUCAAAUCCAGUUCAAACUUGCCAUCUCGUUCUGAACUUUUUUCAUUUCUUGAAAGAACUUUUCGAACUUUGGAAUCGCUAAGCGACCAAUACCCUACUUUAACGGGUAAACCUAAAUUUACUAAAACCAAGUUUUCAAAGAAGACAUCUUGUCACACUGGAAGGAUAUCAAAAUCCAAUCAAAGAAAUUGUCUCUAUUGUGAAAAAAGUAAUCACUCUCUUCCAAAAUGUUAUAAAUUUCUCUCGUUAUCCUUGGACUUGAAAAACGAGUUCAUAUUAAGCAAAAAUAUAUGCCGCAACUGCCUUACUGUUGGACAUAACAUAAAUAACUGCGACUCACCUUUUCGUUGUGUAAUUUGCAGGGAAAUGCAUCACACAAUUUUGCAUCCUAAUGAACCAUCUGGUCAUAUGUAUGCAGGAAAAUCUGAUUCAAACCAGAAUUCUCAAAUAUCAUCUAAUAGUUCAAAUACGCACCCAUCUAUACUUUUGUACACAAUUCGCCUAAAUGUUUCUAAAAAUGGCCAUACAAUUUCGUUACGGGCAUUGUUAGAUCCUGGUUCGCAAGGGAGUCUUAUUACUGAAGCUGCAGUGCAACUUUUAGGGUUGAGAAAAAUGAGAAAUCAAUGCAAUGUCAUUGGCGUAGGUGGUGGUCAUGGAAAUAUAUCCAAAUAUUCUGUUAAUAUUGAUUUGCUUAACCGCAAAAAUCAGUCUGUGCUUUUAUGUACGGCAUUAGUGCUACCAAAUUUGUCAUCGUAUACUCCUGGUAUUUCAUUCAAAAAUAUUUCUUUGCCAGAUAUUGAAACAGAAGAUCUUGCUGAUCCUUUCUUCUAUAAAACAGACAGAAUUGAUCUAAUAUUAGGGUCGGACGUUUGUGCAAAAAUUAAAAUUCCAUCUGAAUCUUUUGUCCACAAAGGACUUUUCUUUCAGAAUACUCACUUUGGUUGGGUCUUUUCAGGCACAAGUGACAGUUUGCUAUCACAUAAUAUUCAUAUACACAAUACCAAUUUAGAAAAAAUACUGAGAUCAUUCUGGGAACAAGAAGAAGUGUCUGUAAAAAGGUCUCCAAAUCAAGAGGAAAUAUUAUGUGAGAAUUAUUUCAAAACCUCAACAACGCGUCAAGAAAAUGGACGUUAUUUAGUAAGUUUACCUUUUAAAUCAAUAAUAUCCUCUAAUAAAACCCCAUACUUGCAAAAUAACGCCCUGAAUGCACUUAGAAGACUACGGCAUUUGGAAGUAUCAUUUUCGAAGAGACCUGAAUUUAGCCAGGCCUAUAAAACGUUCAUGAAUGAAUAUGAGACUUUAGGUCAUAUGACCAAAAUUGGUAGCUAUCCAGACGAUGUACGACAAAACUCCUACUUCCUUCCCCAUCACGGAGUCUUUAAAGAGGACAGCAGUACAACCAAACUUCGUGUUGUAUUUGAUGGCAGUAGCCACUUUCCAGAAUUCAAUUCCCUCAAUGAUAUUUUAGCUCCUGGUCCAGCCCUGCAAAACGACCUUCCGUCUAUUAUUACCAAAUGGCGCACCCACAAAAUUGCAUUUAGUGCGGAUAUCGAAAAAAUGUUCCGUCAAAUCGACGUUAAUCCUGAUCAUCGCAAAUUCCAACAAAUUUUGUGGAGACAGAAUUCCUCAGAGCCUAUGCAUAUUUAUGAGCUUAACACUGUCACCUAUGGCACCACAAGUGCGCCCUACUUAGCAAUCCGUGUCCUACAUAAAUUAGCAGAAGAUUUCAACAAUGAAUAUCCAAAGGCAGCCAAAGUUUUAGUAGCAGAUUCGUAUGUCGAUGACAUUUUAUCUGGGGCUGAAACGAUAGAUGAAGCCCAAUUAUUAUACACUGAUUUAUGCGAUCUUUUGAAGUCAGGUGGCUGCAAUCUUCGUAAAUGGAACUCGAAUUCUGCAGAUUUCCUAAGCAAAAUUCCAGAAGCUUGUCGAGAUUCCUCUUCAACUAUAUGCUUCAGCAAAGACAAUGUGGUUAAAACGCUAGGUGUCCAAUGGAAUAUUAAUAGUGAUUCUUUUUGCUUUAAUGUAAUACUGGAUGAGAACCCAACUAUCUCAAAGAGAUCGAUCUUGUCUGAGUCGGCUAGGCUAUAUGAUCCAUUGGGCUGGUUAACUCCAACCACAUUAAUUUCAAAGUCCAUAUUUAAAAAACUCUGGGAGCAUGUUUUAGAUUGGGAUGACAAACUACCAACAGAGUUAGAAAAGGCUUGGACAAAACACAGGAUCUCUUUGAGGGAACUCACCAAAGUUAAGAUCCCAAGAUGGAUAAAAUGGUCUCAACAUUCGCCAAUUGAACUUCACUGUUUCUGUGAUGCUUCUACCGAAGCUUAUGCUGCUGUUGUAUACUCUAGGGUGAGUACUCCUAAAGGCAUUGUUGUUUCAAUUUUGCAAGCCAAAUCGAAGGUUUCUCCCAUCAAAACGGUGACUAUACCCAGAUUGGAGCUUUGUGCAGCAAAAUUACUAGCGCUUCUAACAGAAAAUGUAAAGAGGUCAUUAUCAGGAUAUUCUAUCCGCAAUAUUUUUUACUGGAGCGAUAGCACAACAGUCUUAAGCUGGAUUAGAAAACCUCCUUCACAGUGGACCGUCUAUGUGGCUAACAGAGUAGCUGAUAUACAAAGGCUUAGUAGUCCACUUCAAUGGAAUUAUGUUCCAUCAGCUCUAAAUCCCGCUGACUGCGCUUCCAGAGGUAUAUCAGCGAGUGAUUUAUUACAUUGUAAGAUGUGGUGGUGGGCCUCAAUUUUUGCAAGAGCCCCCUUCCUCUUGGCCUAAGUCUCUUCCACACCUUAAUACAAGUGAAGAAAUCAGGAAACCAAAGAUGACUACACAUAAUCUCGUAAAAAAGGUUUACAACGAAUUGCUUACCAAAUAUUCAAAUCUUCAAAAAUUAUUGCGAGUAAUAUCUCUCUGUUUUCGGUAUGUGCAUAAUAUUAGAAAUCCAAAAACAAGAAUGGUAGGAUGUUUGACAGCUCUAGAAAAAAUUAAUACUCUGCACUUUUUAAUAAAAGAAGUCCAGGCAAUUGAUUUUCCCCAAGAAAUAAAACUUCUUUUAAACAAUACUCCACUAAAACAUAGCCCAUUGCUAAAACUUACGCCUUUUAUCGACGAACAAGGUGUUAUACGAGUGGGAGGCCGUCUGCAAAACUCAAAUUUGGAGUACAGUAUAAUGCAUCCAAUUGUUUUAUCAAAAGGUAAUCCACUACUAUUAGAGAUGCCAACUAAUUAUUAGAGAUGCCCAUGAAAGAACUCUGCAUGGCGGUAUUACUCUCACAAUGUCUUACGUUAAUAGACACUAUUGGAUAUUAUCCGGAACUCAAUUAACAAAGACAAUAAUUUCACAAUGCUUGAAGUGCUUUAGAUAUUCUGCAAAGACCUCUCAACAAAUAAUGGGAAAUCUACCACCAGUACGACUACAUAUUAGCCGACCAUUCAAACAUAGCGGUGUAGACUAUGCUGGGCCAAUUAUGAUUAAAAAUUCCACUCUAAGGUCAGCUGUGACUUCCAAAGGUUAUAUAUGUUUAUUUGUGUGUAUGGUGACUAAGGCAUUACACUUAGAAGCUGUCACAGACCUCACAACAACAGCCUUUCUAGCAGCUUUCAAACGCUUUGUAUCCCGCAGAGGCAUAUGUACUGACGUUUAUUCCGAUUGUGGAACAAAUUUCGUAGGCGCUUCUAAAGAGCUACAAGUUCUUCAAAAAAGGUCCCUUAAAUCUUUGCCAUCGGAACUACGCCACAAUCUAAAUACAAAUGGUACUACAUGGCACUUUAUACCUCCCGCAUCACCAAACUUUGGAGGACUAUGGGAGGCAGGUGUAAAAUCUGUAAAGUACCAUCUAAAACGUAUUGUUGGUGACAGGCUACUUAGUUUUGAGGAACUUUCCACUUUACUUUGCCAAAUUGAAAGCUGUUUAAACUCGCGACCUUUGUGCCCUUUGUCAUCUGAUCCAUCGGAUCAUGAAGCCCUGACUCCAGCCCACUUCUUAAUUGGUGAACCAACAAAUUGUAUCCAGCAAGAAACUCUACUUGACAUUAAUGAAAACCAUUUAGAUCGAUGGAAAAGAUUAGAACGAAUGAAACAACAUUUCUGGAAACGUUGGCGCAACGAGUACCUCAAUCGGCUACAGUCUCGCCCAAAAUGGUUGCAUGGAACCAGAAAUGCUGAAAUUGGUGAUCUUGUGCUGAUUGCAGAUGAAAGAUGCGGCCCUGGACAAUGGCUUCUUGGCCGAAUAACCGAUGUCCAUCCAGGAACUGAUGGCAAAAUCAGGAAUGCGAUUCCCAGAAAAACAUUGGAAAUGCUGAAAAUUAUUCAUAAAAACAAACUUGUAUACAAUCUCUGAACACAUAUUCCCGAAAGAUGUCUUACUACAAUCACUAUUCAUGUUCCCCUACUAAAGAUUUUGCUCAAUGAGUAAGACGGUGCCUUUGAAUUAGCGCUGUGAGUCGGAGCAUAGCGGAACUUGCGAGUUCGACUAAAACACUCCCACCGUGUGGCCGUCUUAUUCAAAUUUACGUAUGAACUUCGUUCAUAAGGGGGGAGCAUGUUGUAAAAAUCAAUAUUUCAUUAUUAUUUUAAUAUUAAGAAUGCUCAAAAUUAAUUAUUAAUAAGUAAUUAGAAUUAUCAUUUAACUCAUUAAAUUAACUUGCUUACUGUACAUAAACUAUUUAUCAGCAGGGUAAGAGAACGACGAGAAUGGUCAGUGGAACUUGUUUCAUCAUUCUGUUUUUACCUAUGCUGUUUUACUAAGUGUAAUGAUUGUUGUUGCUGCCGCUCUCAUACUCACUGAAACGAGUGUCAUAAAACUGGUAUCGUGUGCUAAGCGAACCAUACUUUUAACUCAAUGAUAAUUUGAGUGUUACAUUAUUUAGGUUCAAUCAUUUUGCAUUGAUUUCAUAUUCCUUCUUCUAUUUUGACAUCAGAACGAACAACAUCAAAGCAGCAAGUAUUCCACUAACCAUUCUCUUCUUAGUUCUUUUAUUUCAGCAAAUUUUUAUUUCUGAGCAUAUGUACAUGCAAUUGUCAUUUACAUUAUUCAAUAAAAUUUGUGAAA